This 356-nucleotide ribosomal RNA is filed under the name uncultured Hydrogenophaga sp. RNAcentral describes it as "bacterial SSU rRNA". It matches the Rfam family "Bacterial small subunit ribosomal RNA", at positions 1 to 360 of the family's 1533-position model. Lineage: Bacteria; Pseudomonadati; Pseudomonadota; Betaproteobacteria; Burkholderiales; Comamonadaceae. The record is from RNAcentral.
UGACGAGUUUGAUCCUGGCUCAGAUUGAACGCUGGCGGCAUGCUUUACACAUGCAAGUCGAACGGUAACAGGUUAAGCUGACGAGUGGCGAACGGGUGAGUAAUGCAUCGGAACGUGCCCGAUCGUGGGGGAUAACGCAGCGAAAGCUGCGCUAAUACCGCAUACGAUCUGAGGAUGAAAGCGGGGGACCUUGUAGCAAUACGGGGCCUCGCGCGAUCGGAGCGGCCGAUGUCAGAUUAGGUAGUUGGUGGGGUAAAGGCUCACCAAGCCGACGAUCUGUAGCUGGUCUGAGAGGACGACCAGCCACACUGGGACUGAGACACGGCCCAGACUCCUACGGGAGGCAGCAGUGGGGG